GACGAACGCUGGCGGCGUGCUUAACACAUGCAAGUCGAACGGAAAGGCCCUGCUUUUGUGGGGUGCUCGAGUGGCGAACGGGUGAGUAACACGUGAGUAACCUGCCCUUGACUUUGGGAUAACUUCAGGAAACUGGGGCUAAUACCGGAUAGGAGCUCCUGCUGCAUGGUGGGGGUUGGAAAGUUUCGGCGGUUGGGGAUGGACUCGCGGCUUAUCAGCUUGUUGGUGGGGUAGUGGCUUACCAAGGCUUUGACGGGUAGCCGGCCUGAGAGGGUGACCGGCCACAUUGGGACUGAGAUACGGCCCAGACUCCUACGGGAGGCAGCAGUGGGGAAUAGUGCACAAUGGGCGGAAGCCUGAUGCAGCAACGCCGCGUGCGGGAUGACGGACUUCGGGUUGUAAACCGCUUUCGCCUGUGACGAAGCGUGAGUGACGGUAAUGGGUAAAGAAGCACCGGCUAACUACG
Molecule: ribosomal RNA, 466 nt
Filed under: uncultured bacterium
Lineage: Bacteria
Description: partial 16S ribosomal RNA
Rfam family: Bacterial small subunit ribosomal RNA
Source: RNAcentral